UACGUAGGGAGCGAGCGUUGUCCGGAAUUACUGGGCGUAAAGGGUGCGUAGGCGGUCAGGCAAGUCAGAUGUGAAAUCCCCGGGCUUAACUCGGGUGGUGCAUUUGAAACUGCUUGACUUGAGUGCAGGAGAGGAAAGCGGAAUUCCUAGUGUAGCGGUGAAAUGCGUAGAUAUUAGGAGGAACACCAGUGGCGAAGGCGGCUUUCUGGACUGUAACUGACGCUGAGGCACGAAAGCGUGGGGAGCAAACAGG
This 253-nucleotide ribosomal RNA is filed under the name uncultured bacterium. RNAcentral's name for it is "partial 16S ribosomal RNA". It matches the Rfam family "Bacterial small subunit ribosomal RNA", at positions 524 to 776 of the family's 1533-position model. The record is from RNAcentral.